RNAcentral lists this ribosomal RNA (256 nucleotides) under uncultured bacterium. RNAcentral describes it as "partial 16S ribosomal RNA". It matches the Rfam family "Bacterial small subunit ribosomal RNA", at positions 793 to 1055 of the family's 1533-position model. The record is from RNAcentral.
GUCCACGCCGUAAACGAUGGAUACUAGCUGUUGGGGGGCAACCUCAGUGGCUAAGCGAAAGUGAUAAGUAUCCCACCUGGGGAGUACGUUCGCAAGAAUGAAACUCAAAGGAAUUGACGGGGGCCCGCACAAGCGGUGGAGCAUGUGGUUUAAUUCGAUGAUACGUGAGGAACCUUACCAAGGCUUAAAUGUAGAUUGACCGGUUUGGAAACAGACUUUUCGCAAGACAAUUUACAAGGUGCUGCAUGGUUGUCGU